Molecule: microRNA precursor, 247 nt
Filed under: Medicago truncatula (barrel medic)
Lineage: Eukaryota; Viridiplantae; Streptophyta; Magnoliopsida; Fabales; Fabaceae
Description: MIR2655 microRNA precursor family
Rfam family: MIR2655 microRNA precursor family
Source: Rfam by way of RNAcentral
CCCCUAACUUUUAUUUGUACCAAUUUGGUCCUCUAUGUUUUGCUCCGUUACUAGUUUUAGUCCUUUCUCUUAGUUUCUCUCAAAAAAACGUUAAUAGAAAGGACUAAAACUAGUAACGGAGCAAAACAUAGGGGACCAAAUUGGUACAUAAGUUAACGUUUUUUUGAGAGAAACUAACAGAAAGGACUAAAACUAGUAACAAAGCAAAACAUAGGGGACCAAAUUGAUACAAAUUAUAGUUAGGGGA